Long non-coding RNA from Gorilla gorilla gorilla (western lowland gorilla), 572 nucleotides. RefSeq lists it as uncharacterized. The record is from RefSeq and is a predicted model, not a curated record. The transcript has 3 exons. NCBI's taxonomy places the organism in Eukaryota, Metazoa, Chordata, Mammalia, Primates, Hominidae.
CUUAUGCCCCAUGUUGGAAUGGACACUUGAGUCAGGCCCUCAUUCUGGCCACAGGGUAUAGGAAACAGUGCCCCAGGAAGAUUAGAGCUGCUUGGAGAUGGUUGAGAGGGGCCAAUUUGGCUCCAAAUAUUGAGGCAAGUGGUGAAAAUGGAGAGCUGCAGCACUGGGCUGUGGACAAGGCAUCCAAGGAAGUAACCAGCCAGGAGAAGAUAUCACCUGCCUAUGGCAGCUGCCUAAAUGGAUUGCUGAGGAAUAAAUGGGUCCUACGUUAUCUGCCAAGGAGUUUCCCCAUAGUGAUCUACAGUAAAACUCUUGACGCUAAAAGGAUUUCAAGAACAGCCUUGAUGGCAAGAACUUGGAAGAGUUCAUCUUUCUCAGUAUCCAGACAGGAGAAGAGAGAGUUGAGAGUUGGACAAUCCUAGUUUCAAGCCUGAGUUUAUGUUUGCUGAGUCUUCCAACUCAUAAUUUCUUCCUCAACAUCUCCUCGUCUCCCUCACAAUCCUGUUAUCAUCACCACCACCACCAUCACCAUCACUGUGAUCACACAAAGGCACUAUGAAAACGUAAUUGAG